RNAcentral lists this ribosomal RNA (718 nucleotides) under uncultured bacterium. RNAcentral describes it as "bacterial SSU rRNA". It matches the Rfam family "Bacterial small subunit ribosomal RNA", at positions 8 to 701 of the family's 1533-position model. The record is from RNAcentral.
AGAGUUUGAUCCUGGCUCAGAUUGAACGCUGGCGGCAGGCCUAACACAUGCAAGUCGAGCGGUAACAGGAAUUAGCUUGCUAAUUUGCUGGCGAGCGGCGGACGGGUGAGUAAUGCCUGGGAAUAUGCCUUAGUGUGGGGGAUAACUAUUGGAAACGAUAGCUAAUACCGCAUAUCGUCUUUGUUCAUUACGAGCGGGACCAAAGAGGGGGACCUUCGGGCCUCUCGCGCUAAGAUUAGCCCAGGUGGGAUUAGCUAGUUGGUGAGGUAAAGGCUCACCAAGGCAACGAUCCCUAGCUGGUCUGAGAGGAUGAUCAGCCACACUGGAACUGAGACACGGUCCAGACUCCUACGGGAGGCAGCAGUGGGGAAUAUUGCACAAUGGGGGAAACCCUGAUGCAGCCAUGCCGCGUGUAUGAAGAAGGCCUUCGGGUUGUAAAGUACUUUCAGUCGUGAGGAAGGGUGUGUAGUUAAUAGCUGCAUACCUUGACGUUAGCGACAGAAGAAGCACCGGCUAACUCCGUGCCAGCAGCCGCGGUAAUACGGAGGGUGCGAGCGUUAAUCGGAAUUACUGGGCGUAAAGCGCAUGCAGGCGGUCUGUUAAGCAAGAUGUGAAAGCCCGGGGCUCAACCUCGGAACCGCAUUUUGAACUGGCAGACUAGAGUCUUGUAGAGGGGGGUAGAAUUUCACGUGUAGCGGUGAAAUGCGUAGAGAUCUGA